This 253-nucleotide ribosomal RNA is filed under the name uncultured bacterium. Its description in RNAcentral is "partial 16S ribosomal RNA". It matches the Rfam family "Bacterial small subunit ribosomal RNA", at positions 524 to 776 of the family's 1533-position model. The record is from RNAcentral.
UACAGAGGGUGCAAGCGUUAAUCGGAAUUACUGGGCGUAAAGCGUGCGCAGACGGUUGCGUAAGUCAGAUGUGAAAGCCCCGGGCUCAACCUGGGAAUGGCAUUGGAAACUGGCGGACUCGAGUGUGGCAGAGGGGGGUGGAAUUCCGCGUGUAGCAGUGAAAUGCGUAGAGAUGCGGAGGAACACCGAUGGCGAAGGCAGCCCCCUGGGCUAACACUGACGCUCAGGCACGAAAGCGUGGGGAGCAAACAGG